Molecule: transfer RNA, 72 nt
Filed under: Camelus bactrianus (Bactrian camel)
Lineage: Eukaryota; Metazoa; Chordata; Mammalia; Artiodactyla; Camelidae
Also listed under: 2 other names
Rfam family: tRNA
About the family: Transfer RNA (tRNA) molecules are approximately 80 nucleotides in length.
Source: Rfam by way of RNAcentral
GAGGGUAUAGCUCAGUGGUAGAGCACAUGCUUAGCAUGCACCAGGUCCUAGGUUCAACCCCCAGUACCUUCA